This 99-nucleotide unclassified non-coding RNA is filed under the name Escherichia coli. RNAcentral describes it as "IS009". The record is from RNAcentral. Lineage: Bacteria; Pseudomonadati; Pseudomonadota; Gammaproteobacteria; Enterobacterales; Enterobacteriaceae.
UGAAAAAAGGUGAGCUGUAUAUGCAACGGAGGAAGAAAACUCGUUGCUGGAAGCCUGGAAAAAGUAUCGGGUGCUGCUAAACCGUGUGGACACUUCCGU